Chinchilla lanigera (long-tailed chinchilla) is the source of this 285-nucleotide long non-coding RNA. RefSeq lists it as uncharacterized. The record is from RefSeq and is a predicted model, not a curated record. The transcript is spliced from 3 exons. Lineage: Eukaryota; Metazoa; Chordata; Mammalia; Rodentia; Chinchillidae.
CUUUGACCUGUUAUAAUGGUGAAUUUUAAAGAAGGAUAAGACUGAAAUUGACAAAAGCUGCUGCCACUAUGUCAUCACGGAGGAGCAUGGGAUACAAGAGAUAUGUCUGAGAUGCCAGAGGUCUUGGACAAGUUCAGAAUGCAGGAGCUGUGGCUUCUGUCACCUACCAUAACAAGGAAAUGACAGGAGGGAAAAUUCUUCUUCAGUUCAUGGGCUGAGAGCUUGGUCCCAGUGUGUUGAUGCUGACAGCUGGUAGAACUUUUAAGAGGUGGAACCUAUGGAAGG